CCUACGGGUGGCAGCAGUGGGGAAUAUUGGGCAAUGGGCGCAAGCCUGACCCAGCAACGCCGCGUGAAGGAAGAAGGCUUUCUGGUUGUUAACUUCUUUUAAGGGGGGAGAGGAGAAGACGGUACCCCUUGCAUCAUCCACGGCUAACUACGUACCAUCAGCCGCGGUAAUACGUAGGUGGCAAGCGUUGUCCGGAUUUACUGGGUGUAAAGGGCGUGCAGCCGGGAGGACAAGUCAGGUGUGAAAGCCCGCGGCUCAACCGAGGAACUGCAGUUGAAACUGUUGUUCUGGAGUACCGGAGAGGUCAUCGGAAUUCCUUGUGUAGCGGUGAAAUGCGUAGAUAUAAGGAAGAACACCAGUGGCGAAGGCGGAUGACUGGACGGCAACUGACGGUGAGGCGCGAAAGCGUGGGGAGCAAACAGGAUUAGAUACCCCAGUAGUC
Molecule: ribosomal RNA, 442 nt
Filed under: uncultured bacterium
Lineage: Bacteria
Description: partial 16S ribosomal RNA
Rfam family: Bacterial small subunit ribosomal RNA
Source: RNAcentral